GUGCUCGCUUCGGCAGCACAUACACUAAAAUUGGAACAAUACAGAGAAGAUUAGCAGGGCCCCUGCGCAAGAAAUAAUACACAAAUUCAUGAAGCAUUCCAUAUUUUU
Small nuclear RNA from Loxodonta africana (African savanna elephant), 108 nucleotides. The record is from Ensembl. NCBI's taxonomy places the organism in Eukaryota, Metazoa, Chordata, Mammalia, Proboscidea, Elephantidae.